This 460-nucleotide ribosomal RNA is filed under the name uncultured bacterium. RNAcentral describes it as "partial 16S ribosomal RNA". It matches the Rfam family "Bacterial small subunit ribosomal RNA", at positions 338 to 795 of the family's 1533-position model. The record is from RNAcentral.
CCUACGGGAGGCAGCAGUGAGGAAUAUUGGUCAAUGGGCGCGAACCUGAACCAGCCAAGUCGCGUGAAGGAUGACUGCCCUACGGGUUGUAAACUUCUUUUAUAAAGGAAUAAAGUGAUGCACGUGUGCCUUUUUGUAUGUACUUUAUGAAUAAGGAUCGGCUAACUCCGUGCCAGCAGCCGCGGUAAUACGGAGGAUCCGAGCGUUAUCCGGAUUUAUUGGGGUUAAAGGGAGCGGAGAUGGGUUGUUAAGUUAGUUGUGAAAGUUUGGGGCUCAACCGUAAAAUUGCAAUUGAUACUGGUAGUCUUGAGUACAGUUGAGGUAGGCGGAAUUCGUGGUGUAGCGGUGAAAUGCUUAGAUAUCACGAAGAACUCCGAUUGCGAAGGCAGCUUACUAAACUGCCACUGACAUUGAUGCUCGAAAGUGUGGGUAUCAAACAGGAUUAGAUACCCUGGUAGUC